RNAcentral lists this ribosomal RNA (207 nucleotides) under uncultured bacterium. RNAcentral's name for it is "partial 16S ribosomal RNA". It matches the Rfam family "Bacterial small subunit ribosomal RNA", at positions 568 to 774 of the family's 1533-position model. The record is from RNAcentral.
CGCGCAGGCGGAUCUGACAGUGCUUCGUGAAAUCCCCCGGCUUAACCGGGGAAUGGCGGAGCAUACUACAGGUCUUGAGUCAAGUAGGGGUGUGUGGAACUCUUGGUGGAGCGGUGGAAUGCGUAGAUAUCAAGAGGAACGCCGAAGGUGAAGACAGCACACUGGGCUUGAACUGACGCUGAGGCGCGAAAGCGUGGGGAGCAAACA